This 264-nucleotide ribosomal RNA is filed under the name uncultured bacterium. Its description in RNAcentral is "partial 16S ribosomal RNA". It matches the Rfam family "Bacterial small subunit ribosomal RNA", at positions 1228 to 1500 of the family's 1533-position model. The record is from RNAcentral.
CAAUGGGUGAUACAGAGGGCCGGCCGCUGGCAACAUCGGUCCAAUCCUUAAAGUCAUCCUCAGUUCGGACUGGGGUCUGCAACCCGACCCCACGAAGCUGGAUUCGCUAGUAAUCGCGCAUCAGCCAUGGCGCGGUGAAUACGUUCCCGGGCCUUGUACACACCGCCCGUCAAGCCAUGAAAGCCGGGGGCGCCUGAAGUCCGUGACCGCGAGGGUCGGCCUAGGGUGAAACCGGUGAUUGGGGCUAAGUCGUAACAAGGUAAC